This is a long non-coding RNA of Alexandromys fortis (reed vole), 2454 nucleotides long. RefSeq lists it as uncharacterized. NCBI's taxonomy places the organism in Eukaryota, Metazoa, Chordata, Mammalia, Rodentia, Cricetidae. The transcript is spliced from 2 exons. The record is from RefSeq and is a predicted model, not a curated record.
UGCAGGCGCUGCGGAAGAAGCGGCACUGGCACGAGGCGCACGGGUCGCAGCAGGCGGGCGCAGGCGGCUUGCAGCUGUCUCGGGUGGCCACGCAGGGCGUCGGGGGCGGGGGCCGUGCCUCCUUCUUCAGCGAAGCGUUCAUCUGUAGGAAAGACGUCGAGGGCUCCUGAGCGGGCCACACUGGGCCCAUGCGUCCCCAUCUGCUGUGGAGGUCUGGGGCCAGAGAUCUCUGCCCUGCUGCCCAGCUCUGCUCAUACGCACAGGCCAUCCUGAUGGGUCCCUGGCCGCCACCCUAUCAUGCACACCGCCUACAUCUUCAGGCUCACCUAGCUCCGACCUGGCCCUUGGGAGAUCACUCAGCCCCAAGUUUAAACACCUCCGGCUUCUCUUCAAGUCUCAUCCACCAUCCCUAUCAUCCCCUGCCACUCAUAACCUUCUUCCCCUUAGCGGCCCUGUCCUCUAGAGUUACCAUCCUCCAGUGCACCAAGGAAGGCCCUUUCUAUGGCCAUAUCAUAGGAAAAAAAUAUAUCCAUAAAUACAUAUAUAUACACACACACAUACACAUACAUAGGGAAUAUAUAUAUUCCCAUUGUGGGAAUUGAACUCAGGCCUUUUGUUGUAAGCAAACUUUACUACUUCACUAUACCCCCCCCCCACCCUUUUUAAAAUGUUUAUUUUGUGACAGAGUCUUUUUGCCCAGAUGGGCCUUGAAUUUGCUGGCUAGCUCCAGCAGCCCUUGAACUGGGGGUCCCCCUGUUUCAGCCUCCUGAGCAGCUGAGAUUACAAGCCUGUGCUGCUAGGUUCAGCGAACCGUGUUUUAUUUUCAUUGAGUCUUUUAUUCUGGCUACAGCAAGUGAUUCUAGUUUUCUGUCAUACUUCUGUUUUUCAGUGGUUGUGCAGCCCAGGCUCAUUGAGAACUUGGCGUGUAGUUUGGGAUGGCCGUGAACUCCUGGUCUUCCUCGCUUCCACCUCCCACAUACUGGGAGUACAGCUGUGUGCCAGGACACCCGACUUCUAUUUUCUAAUCUUGGCAUUUCUGAUUUUUAAGCAGCAGGUAGCUGUCUUGCUCAGUGAACUUAGGCUCUCUGGCUUGAAUGGAAGUCUGCCACAAGGCUCUAGGCCAGGAAACCGCUAGGAAGUUUUCAGUUAUUUUGUUUCAGUAGAUCUGGAGAUACCUCCCGUUUGGUGCUCAGCGUUGGCUUACAGGUCUCCCACUCCACUGUGAGAACUCCCAGGCCUACCUUGGACGAUCUCUUCCGUUUCUCGGCUUCUUUUCUGCUGAUCCUCUUGGAUUUCUUGUUCAGUGCUUCAAAGAAAGACAGAUGGAGCAAAGCCAGAUGUUACUGGGGGCCCCCCGAGUUGUGAAGUGGGAGGAGCAGAGGGGGCUCUGAGAAGUCUGAGUGGGACAAAGAGGGACUUCGGGAUGAGUCACGUUAUGGGAAUUCAACCAGCAGGUUCUUAUUAGCCUGGCUUCAGAGCUAAAGAGCAGUGUGCUCCGAGUGGAGGCAAAGAGGAAAUCCAAGAGGGACCAGAGACCUGUCUGUGGCAUCUGUUAGGGACCUAGACCUAGUCUUUUGACCUUGCUGGCCCUUGAUCACCCUGUUUUAGCCUUUAACCUUGUAGGUGCAAGAACAUUGUGAGCCUCUGAAAAUGGGACUCAGCCUUUUAUUACUGGACACAUCUGUGUUACACAUAUACAUACAUACAUACAUACAUACAUACAUACAUACAUACAUACUACUCUCAAAGCACAGAGCCAGGCACAUCUGCCUUGAAUCCACAUAACAGCUGUGUGGUCUCCCUGGUAAUCAGUUUCCUCAUCUACAAAAAAGGUUCUAUCAUAAGUAUGUUUAUAAAACAAAAAGUCUGACAUGGGGCUGGAGAGAUGGCUCAGCUGUUAAGAGCACUUGGUGCACUUCCAGAGGACCCAGGUUUGCUUCUCAGCACUGACAUGGUGACUCACAACUGCCUAUAACUCCAGUUCCAGGGGCUCUGAGGGUACUAGGCCUGCACAUACAAGAAGGCAGAGCACCCAUUUACAUAGAAGUAAAAUAUUUUUUAAAAGUCUGACAUCCAUGGUGAGAAAGGAAUAUUGGUGUCUCUCCUUUUCCCUCCUUUGACUUCCCAGACUAGAGGUUCUCCACCUGUGGGUUGUGACCACUUUGGCAAACCCCAUGUCCAAAAAUAUUUUCAUUACAACUCCUAACAGUAGCAAAAUGACAGUUACGAAGUAGCAAUGACGAUAACGGAGGGUCACCGCAACAUGAGGAACUGCACUAAAGGGUUGCAGCAUUAGGAAGGGUGAGAAUGGCUGCUCUAGACCCUCUUUGUGCCCAGUGAAAUGCAAGUCAAUGAGUUGUGAGCUCACAUGUAUAAUUCGCCUGUUUGAGUUCUGGCUCUGCCUAUUGGGAACUAAUGUCUGUAAGCUCCAGUCUCGUCAGUGGUAAAAUAUAA